RNAcentral lists this ribosomal RNA (522 nucleotides) under uncultured Glomus. RNAcentral's name for it is "SSU rRNA". It matches the Rfam family "Eukaryotic small subunit ribosomal RNA", at positions 569 to 1092 of the family's 1831-position model. Lineage: Eukaryota; Fungi; Glomeromycota; Glomeromycetes; Glomerales; Glomeraceae. The record is from RNAcentral.
AGCAGCCGCGGUAAUUCCAGCUCCAAUAGCGUAUAUUAAAGUUGUUGCAGUUAAAAAGCUCGUAGUUGAAUUUCGGGAUCAAUUAAUCGGUCGUGCCUCUGGUACGCACUGGUUUUAUUGGUUUCUCCCUUCUGACGAACCAUGAUGUCAUUAAUUUGGUGUUAUGGGAAAUCAGGACUGUUACUUUGAAAAAAUUAGAGUGUUUAAAGCAGGCAUUAGCUUGAAUACAUUAGCAUGGAAUAAUGAAAUAGGACGUUCGAACCUAUUUUGUUGGUUUUUAGGAUCAACGUAAUGAUUAAUAGGGAUAGUUGGGGGCAUUAGUAUUCAAUUGUCAGAGGUGAAAUUCUUGGAUUUAUUGAAGACUAACUACUGCGAAAGCAUUUGCCAAGGAUGUUUUCAUUAAUCAAGAACGAAAGUUAGGGGAUCGAAGACGAUCAGAUACCGUCGUAGUCUUAACCAUAAACUAUGCCGACUAGGGAUCGGAUGAUGUUAAUUUUUUAAUGACUCAUUCGGCGCCUUACG